Molecule: long non-coding RNA, 1171 nt
Filed under: Notechis scutatus (mainland tiger snake)
Lineage: Eukaryota; Metazoa; Chordata; Lepidosauria; Squamata; Elapidae
Description: lncRNA (ENSNSUG00000005762.1)
Source: RNAcentral
AAAUAAUUCCCUCAACACUAUCCAACUAUUUACAAAGUCUGCACUACUAUUAUUGUUAAUCUUCUCAUUGUUCCUUAUCACCCAUCCUCUCCCACUUGUGACUGUAUGACUGUCACUUUGUCACUUGCAUCCUUACGAUUUAUAUUGACUGUUUCCUAGUAUGAUUUGAUUGCUUAUUGUACCCUAUGACUAUUAUUAUUACGUGUUGUACCUUAUGAUUCUUUAUUCUUGAUGAAUGUAUCUUUUCCCUUAUGUACAUUGAGAGCAUUUGCACCAAGACAAAUUCCUUGUGUGUCCAAUCACACUUGGCCAAUAAAGAAUAUUCUAUUCUAUUCUAUAUGUACUUUGAGUUUGGACGGAAUUUCUUCCUUUUAAAAACUGUUUUGGGGAAAGUUUUCUUUUCUCCAGUCACAGAUAACUGGCCAUUGGGGACUAAGUUGGAGGCAUUAAAAGGACUUUACCUACUUUUGGGACUCUGUUGCUUUUGUGCCGCGCCUCUUUGGGUCAUCACAUGGGGCAGGACGAGCGCUAAGUCCUAUCGAAAACAGGUCAACCUGACCACAGCUGGAGAUGUGGUUUUCCUAUGGCAGCCUCUGGUCUGGUUGGCUGAGCGUCGUGCUUGCCAAGCGUCCUUGGGCGAGAGUCCCGGUCUCUUAAGCUGCAACCUGAUCAGGGCGCCAGAGUUCACGCGGCUGUCUCAGGUGCAACCGCAGGAAUUUGAGACGUCAGCAAACGGAUCCACUUGGUCUGGAAAACCAAUAUUUGCCAUUGUGUUCGAACGCGAGGCGAGACAGAAUGAAGCCACGGCCUGCACCGAAAGUAUGUGCCAUGAUGCAAGAAGGCGCGUCUGGUGUAUAAAAAUAAGAUAAAUAGACAUUAUGGUUCCCUAAGACAGAGGCGGUUUAGUCUACACGAGGUGAAGGCACCAGGCUGGAAAGCAGGAGGCUGGGAGUUCCAAUAAUAAUAAUAUAGUAUGCAUAGUUGAUCUAUACAGUAUGAAUUUUAAUCUAAACUUAGAAGGGAAAGACUGCUAAUUUUGUGCACAAGAGAUAUGUACCAACCGACACACUGUAUAUAAUGGAAAUAUGGCUUUAUUUGAUGUUUUGUGUUUGUGUUUGUCAAUGUUUGUUGUCAAAAUAAAUAAAUAAAAAUUAAAAAGAAAAGAGAGAGC